AGUGAACGCUGGCGGUGCGCCUAAGACAUGCAAGUCAAGUGGGGUUUAGACCCACGGCGAACGGCUGCGUAACACAUGGGUAUCUGCCCCGAACUCAGGAAUAACCCUCCGAAAGGGGGGCUAAUGCCGGAUAGUCCCGCAAGGGUAAAGCUUUUGCGGUUCGGGAGGAGCCUGUGGCCUAUCAGUUAGUUGGUGAGGUA
Molecule: ribosomal RNA, 200 nt
Filed under: uncultured bacterium
Lineage: Bacteria
Description: partial 16S ribosomal RNA
Rfam family: Bacterial small subunit ribosomal RNA
Source: RNAcentral